This 786-nucleotide ribosomal RNA is filed under the name uncultured bacterium. RNAcentral describes it as "bacterial SSU rRNA". It matches the Rfam family "Bacterial small subunit ribosomal RNA", at positions 8 to 796 of the family's 1533-position model. The record is from RNAcentral.
AGAGUUUGAUCAUGGCUCAGAACGAACGUUGGCGGUGUGGAUUAGGCAUGCAAGUCGAACGAAUGGUCGUUGUGUAGCAAUACAUGAUGGCCGGAAGUGGCGAAAGGGGCAGUAAUGUAUAGGUAACCUACCCUGGGGAUGGGGAUAGCCGUUCUAACGAGCGGGUAAUACCCAGCGAUUUGGCGAGGCGGCAUCGCUUUGCCAAGAAAUGAGUUUCGCCUCGGGAGGGGCUUAUAUCGUAUUAGCUAGUUGGUGAGGUGAUGGCUUACCAAGGCUUAGAUGCGUAGCGGGUGUGAGAGCACGACCCGCGCCACUGGCACUGAGACACUGGCCAGACACCUACGGGUGGCUGCAGUCGAGGAUCUUUGGCAAUGAGCGCAAGCUUGACCAAGCGACACCGCGUGGAUGAUGAAGGCCUUCGGGUUGUAAAAUCCUGUCGAGGGGGACGAAGCCGCAAGGUUGACCGAUCCCUGGAGGAAGGGCGGGCUAAGUUCGUGCCAGCAGCCGCGGUAAGACGAACUGCCCAAACGUUGUUCGGAAUCACUGGGCUUAAAGGGCGCGUAGGCGGCGAUACAAGUCAGGGGUGAAAUCCGGCAGCUCAACUGUCGAAGUGCCUUUGAUACUGUAUCGCUCGAGGGAGGUAGGGGUCUGUGGAACUUCUGGUGGAGCGGUGAAAUGCGUUGAUAUCAGAAGGAACGCCGGUGGCGAAAGCGACGGACUGGACCUUUUCUGACGCUGAGGCGCGAAAGCUAGGGGAGCAAACGGGAUUAGAUACCCUGGUAGUCC